CUGAAAUGGUUUGGUGGGGAUGAUCGCACCCGA
RNAcentral lists this small RNA (33 nucleotides) under Bombyx mori (domestic silkworm). RNAcentral's name for it is "ovarian small RNA-14846". The record is from RNAcentral. Lineage: Eukaryota; Metazoa; Arthropoda; Insecta; Lepidoptera; Bombycidae.